This 468-nucleotide ribosomal RNA is filed under the name uncultured bacterium. RNAcentral describes it as "partial 16S ribosomal RNA". It matches the Rfam family "Bacterial small subunit ribosomal RNA", at positions 28 to 507 of the family's 1533-position model. The record is from RNAcentral.
GACGAACGCUGGCGGCGUGCUUAACACAUGCAAGUCGAACGGAAAGGCCCUGCUUUUGUUGCGUUCUCGAUUGGCGAACGGGUGAGUAACACGUGAGUAACCUCCCCUUAACUUUCGGAUAACUUCAGGAAACUCGGGCUAAUACCGGAUAUGAUCUCCUGCUGCAUGGUGUUGGUUGGAAAGUUUCGGCGGUUGUGGAUGUACUCGCGGCUUAUCAGCUUGUUGGUGGGGUAGUGGCUUACCAAGGCUUUGACGGGUAGCCGGCCUGAGAGGGUGACCGGCGACAUGGGGACUGAGAUAAGGCCCAGAAGGCUACGGGAGGCAGCAGGGGGGAAUAUUGCACAAUGGGCGGAAGCCUGAUGCAGCAACGCCGCGUGCGGGAUGACGGCCUUCGGGUUGUAAAACGAUUUCGCAUGUGACGAAGCGUGAGUGACGGUAAUGGGUAAAGAAGCAACGGCUAACUACGUG